AGUCGGACGAGUCGAAUCGCAAAAAAACGCAACCGGAAGGAAAUUAUCGUCCAAUAAGUUAUCAAGAAGCAGCAAGAGCAGGCUGGACUCUUCUUCCCUAGAUUUGCACAGAUUUACGCGCCCUGUGCAUGAGAUCGUUAAGGGAAUUAUAAACCCCAAGAGCGUAAGGAGAGAGAGACAGAGACAGAGACAGAGAUCAUACCCCAAUAUCUUGGCUUGGCCAUCAAAAUUGCGUGUUUCAAAUCAAAAUUGCAUAAUCUCGGAAAUCCUGGAACGAGUUCGCGUUCUUCAACAGAUCCAAGAAGAGAUUACCCGCGCUCUAGAAGCUGCUGUUGUCGCCGCGUAAUCGCAGUAGCAAAGAUUUCGAGUUGCGCUUCCUUUGAGCCUAGCCACGUUCUCUAUGCCCUGGCCUUAUCGCCAGUUGGCCAUCUAAAGUUGCCAGUUUUGCGGAUCGCAGUCGGACUUGAGCGCGCGCGUGCGUCGCCGUUUGCCUUUUGGGCCCGCCUCGUAAUUAAUUACAAACGCAGUCGCACUUCCCGCUUUCCCCGUACUCAACUCUGGCCGGCACAUCUCCUCUGAGGAAAGCUCAGAGACGCGACGCUUCUCCUGUUAAAUCUUGAUUCUUUUGGGUUUUACGCUGUGGAGGCUUGCGUGCGCAGACACUGGCAUCGACGACAUCUGAUUGCCUUUUUAUGGCUGGUAAGUAGCUUUGGCUCUGCGCCUAUGGCCCAGGCUCAUACUUCGACAUCGCUAAACAAGUAUAUUAAUGGUUAAGCUGGGCGAUUGGGGGUUCCAACAUUCGUUUGGCGGCUUUGGGUUAUUGCAUCUAAUGGCUUUUAAUUCAACUCAAUAUUGGGCAUUGUUUGGUCAAGGAAACUGGUGGCACAUAGGGAUUGUUGGCUCAGAGCGAAAGAGGGUUUCCCCCUUUUAAUCUUAUUUUUGUUCAUAAAACUAAAUUAUGGAAUUAUGAAUAUGAUUGUGGAUUCUUAAGGAUCCAUUAAUCGCAAUCAUUUUAUGGUGGACCACAAUUAAGAAAUUAGAACAUAAAAAUGUGCAUUCAAAUUGGGCUGGCUGCACAUUUUCCAGUGUUGGUACAUACAUAAAUGUUUAAUGAAUGUGAAACUAACGUAAAGUAAACGUUAAUGGCAGGGUUAGUCGUGGAUGUCAGCCUUUCAAGGUUUUCUUUAUGUUUACAAACCAAAAAUGUGAGCUAUCCUCAACUAAGACAAUGAGCCAGUGUUGGUAAACACACCAUUUAUCACAAAUCCAUUUCAAAGAACUUAGUUUUCAAAAUUAAAGAAAUAUCAGUUGUUAUCUAUUGUUUAGAGUUGGAAAGUUCUAUACAAAUAAAAGCUUUACCAGUCUUGGUUAAUUUUUAGGCAGUGUUGGUGAACACUUUUAGUUAGCAAUAACAUUUGCCAUUCUUUUAUAGUGUUGUGUGUUGGUAAAUCUCUUUAUAAUAGGAAGCGGAACAGUGUUGGCUUUUAUCCACUGAAUUUAGAACUGAACGACGAAUUUUGUUUACUUCUUAAACUAUUUUGACUGAAUGAACCACCAAAGAAUAUAUACAUAUAAAAUAAACACUGAAAACCACGCCUGAAUCAGAGCUUAUUAAAUCCUUUUCAAUUCCCCUGGCGAAUAUCCUUCAAAUAUGAAACCAGAAAUGACAUUUGAAAAUGGAUUCCUUUGCCGUUUGCCCACUCACAAAAGAUUUUCGUUGGCAACCGAGUGACAUAUGAAUGAAUCAAAUCAAUUAGCGUGUUGCCCACAUUUAAAGGUUAAAAGCCGCACAGACAAGUGCCUGCCAGCUCCUGUUGAUAUUGCUGUUGCUCAGGGGGUGCUGGCUGGGAAAGGUCAAUCGGCAAAACGGGCAGCAGCCAAGCCACCAAAAGGCUUCAACAAAUAACAAACUUCGUUGGCUAAUUAAGCGCUGCCACAGUAACAGAACGAAGUUGAAGCAAAAACUCGACAAUUGUGCUGCUAAAAUGGGAGUCGCAGGUGACAUUUGAGAGAAUCCCAGAGGAGCUGGAGGCAGCAGGCAGUCAAUCAGUCAGGCAGCAGGACCUCGUCCGCCAUUCACAAAAAAUAUCAAAGUUCAAACGGACAUUAAAAGCUGUACCUUUUUCUCAUACUCUCUUCUCUCGUUGCCCGCUCUCUCAAACUCUCAAUUUUGGAAACUCGCUCUCCUGAAACCUUAGCAUUUCCAUGAAUGAAAUUCGAGGAAAACAACAUUUUCACCCAGUGACGUCACAUAGAGCUUUCAUUUCAUUGAUAAGCUUGCCAGCUCUAUUCAUUCAUGAAGUUUUUCAAAUGAAUUGGCCACCGAACGUAACGGUCUCUACUCUACUUCGGUUUUUUCUUUCCAUUUUCGGCUGCCAUUUACCGCCAUUUUCAUGCUGCCGUCGUUGGCAGAGGGGAGAGCAACAGAUGUGGCGGGAGCCAGCCCCCACCCAAUGACAACCCACACACGUGCCGUGCCCCACAGAGAGUCAAAGUGGAAGCCGGCAAAAGGGCAAAGUACCAAACAUCCUGUAUCUAUGCUCCCUGGCUGAGGCUCCUGUCAAGUGGAAACUUCGUGUAGCCACCACAGUGGAGCAAAGAUUGAUGAUUACCUGGGGAAGAUAAGAGAGGAAAGAGAGUUAGAUUUAGGGGAAUUUGUUUAUAAAUAAAACUAAAAAUAUUUAUGGUUGACUUAAGACUGUUUUUCCAAGGGAAUUCUUCUGAAGAGUUCAAGAAAGUGCAUUAAAGAAACUUUUUCUGUCACUUUUUCCACCAACUUCUGGUAGAAUGGAAAUCUCCAAUCACUUUCCACCCCUAGAAAUCUCUUCCCUAUUUCCCAUAUUCUCCUAUCCCACACCAUUGUGCAAUAUUCGCUUCCUAGAACUCAGUGGCUGCUGCUACUGCUACUGCCCCCGGGCAGCCCUGUUUCCCUUCUUGUCUGCUGUUUCUCCCUCCCGGCUGCUGCUUCAGUCAAUGCCAACACUGACAAUGUGGGGGCGUUUAAUCGCAUCUAUUAGCAUCGUAGUCGAGAGCGUUUUCUUACACGCCCCCGCACUCGUUCCGUUUGAUUAUUUCCACUAGAAAAUUGGAAGUUGAAAACAACAAAAUUUCCAUCGUUAAAGACGCCCAAACGCAAAACGGACAAAAUAAGCAACAAGUUUUUUGAUAACCUUAAUGGACUAAGGAAACCCAAAAAUGUCCUGCCUUCUUCCUUGAUUAUCUUCCCACCUGCUUGCCUACUCAAUGUCUUCAUUGCUGUCCAGGACUUCAUCUCUGGCGAGGUUUUCAUCUGUCUCGAGUUCUUGUAUCUCUCAAUUGGUGGCCAUUUCCUUUCAUUAUUAGGUGUAUUAUUAUUAUUAUUAUUGCUGUUAAUGUUCUGGUUGCUAUUUUGAGGUUCUUGAAGGGAGGGUAUAUUGGCUUUGAGCAGGUGUUUGUGGGACAAGGCUAUUGCUUUUGCAAUAAUCGUAAAUCUUCCAAUAUAUCAAUGUCUGUCUUAUUAAAAGUAGACUUUAAAUUUUGUAUGCAUUCGUAUCUGCAUUAAAACUGUAGUAGAACUUUUCUCAUUGACAAAUUAAGUUUCCUAGCAUAUAUCCAUAUCUUUCAUGGCCUUUUCUCUCUUUCCCAGUGUGGCUUAGCAGUAACGCAUAAAAACUUACUAUUUUCCUAUAUACUUUAUCGUGUACCUGCUUAAGUUCAUUUCAAACUUCAAUUUCUUUCAAUUUCUUCAAUGCUCUGGAAAAUUAUAUUAUUAUAAAGGUAGAAGGGUAUUCAAAACCAUUCGUAUCCUUCCCAGCUAACAACUCCCACUUGUUCCUUUUUUUCUGUUGUUUUUGUAGAUUAAAUUGUAGCAUUUGGUGAUGUUGCUGCUCCUUGCUCUUUUUGAUUGAUGCUUAACCUCUAACCUUUAAAUGUCAUACCAUUCCGGGAAAACGGAGACAUACAGACACACAGGGAGAGAUUGAGAACGAGAGAACUAGAAAGAGCGAGGGAGAGUGUGUGCAACACUCUAAUUGCCAUUUGUUGAUGCUUUUGUGGGCGUCUCAGGCUACGUUUUGCAUGUCCACCGACUCUGUUUAGUUAACUUUUCAACAAGUUUCAGCAAACGCCUUUCGGGAUUUUGGGGAAUUUUAUUUAGUGUGCUCCAAAAUGUCAGUCAUCGAAUCAAAUAUCAAAUAAGUGGAGUAUUCCCUGCACAACAUGCAAACUUCAUUAGGAGACAUUUACUGGCGCACAUCGUUGCGUAUGAUUAAUCAUAAAUUACUCAUACGGCCCAUGGAACGUGCGUGGAAUGACGCCAAUCGGCGGGUUUGUUUUCUUCGAGAGUGAAAGCUAAUGCCUUAUCUGAUAGAUAAGGAUAAUAAUACAACUAUCACGUAGUUUUAUUCUUUUGACAUUUUUUCACGGCAUUUUUGCUUUCCAUUUUCAUUCACUCUCAUCGAUGCUCAAUGGCUCUCUCACACUCUCUCUCUUGCGCUUUGCGAGAGCCACCCACAAUUGUUGUUGACUUUUCCUCUGCCAACGGAAUCGGAAAUGCUGCUUUCCUCCCACACAGAGACACAGUGAGAGAGAGGGAGAGUGAGUGAGAGCGAGGUGCCCAUACAAAGAAUCAACAGCUACACGCAGGCAGAGACAGAGGCAGUGGCAGAGACAGAGCGACACCGACAGAGAGCUCGGGAAAAGCUAAAUACAAAUUUCACAGGCAUUUUCCGACACAUUUCCGACGCCUCCGAUGCUGAUGCUGCUGCCGCUGCCAUCGACGCCGACGCACAAGUACAACAGCGGCGCAGCCGAUUUGCCGCUGUUUUCAUCAUGUUUUCUUCUGUGUUUUGCUUCCUUUUUUUUUUGGUUGUUUUGUGUGUGUUUUUACCGAUGCCCGAGUUUUCCCAAUUUCAUUUUCAAUUUUCACCGCUCGUGCCAGUAGCGCAUUGACGGCUCAGCGGCUCGUCUCGCCACUUUUUUGGGCAACCCAAAAAUCACACAAAACAAUCAGAAACAAAAAUCAAAACAAAUUUUCGCGCGCGUAACAAAAAUCUUAACGAAAUUUACAAAGAUUUACUAAAAUUAUACCAAAACAAAGAACCCAAUAUUAAAAGAAAAAUGUGACAAAGCAGAAAGGAAAAGUGCUAGAUAAAUAUCAAAAGAAAAUAAAAGUGAAAGAAAAUGUUCAAUAGGAAAGAGAGCAGUGGGAAAAUUAUCAAAAGAAAACAAAAUUAAUUGCCGCCGGCAAAUGAAAGAAAUGAAGGAAAAUCAUGUUUGAGAAAUUUCUAUGGCUUUAAAGCAUUUUUUUCUGCAAAACGUUUUUGAAAUUAAAUAAAAAUAUUUAAAUAGAUUUGAAAAUAUUUAAAUACAUUUUUAGUCCCAAUAUAAAUGUGUAUUUUUAAUGGUCAAUUUUAGGCUGUAGAUUUUAUUCUAAUGAUAAAUUAUCAGUGUCUUGAUGUGUCUUUUAACGUGUAACUAUUUAUCUACUGUAGUGUGGGUUUUACUGUAGUGUGAUUUUACUGUAGUGUGGUUUUACUGUAGUCAUCAAUAAAAUUAAAUUUUAUAAAUGUUUUACGUGCUUGAAUAUUAAGUGAUAAAUUAAUUUGGAAUCAAAGGUGAAAAAAUUCAUUUUUUCCCCCAAGAGAAAAUUGAGUUGAAAAAUUUAAAAGAGUUUAAAAAAAUCAAAUGAAUAAUUUAAUUCAAAGAAAAGGUAAGCAUGCCGAACUGUAACUAAAUAUUCUAUUAUUUUUACUAUGAAUAAUUACAGUUGGAAUAUUUUGUAUGAUUAUUUUAAGAUUUAUUUUUCAUAAUUUAAAAAAUUCAUAUUUUAAAUUAAUUUAUUUCAGAUUUUUUUCAAGCUUCCUUCAAUAUCAAUCAAUCAAAAGGAAUAAUCAAUUCAAUCGAGAAAGACUGAUUUGACCAACCAUAAAAAUCAUUAAAAAUAAGAGCGAAAAAGCGCAACAAUUGAAACGUUAAGAAAGUCUAAUUAAAAAAAAAUACCAAGAGAAGUGAACAAAAGUGCAACAAAUUUAAAAUAAAAGUUAGCACAAUAUGUG
RNAcentral lists this long non-coding RNA (6035 nucleotides) under Drosophila guanche. Lineage: Eukaryota; Metazoa; Arthropoda; Insecta; Diptera; Drosophilidae. The record is from RNAcentral.